GAUGAACGCUGGCGGCGUGCCUAAUACAUGCAAGUCGAGCGAACAGACGAGGAGCUUGCUCCUCUGACGUUAGCGGCGGACGGGUGAGUAACACGUGGAUAACCUACCUAUAAGACUGGGAUAACUUCGGGAAACCGGAGCUAAUACCGGAUAAUAUAUUGAACCGCAUGGUUCAAUAGUGAAAGACGGUUUUGCUGUCACUUAUAGAUGGAUCCGCGCCGCAUUAGCUAGUUGGUAAGGUAACGGCUUACCAAGGCAACGAUGCGUAGCCGACUUGAGAGGGUGAUCGGCCACACUGGAACUUGGACACGGUCCAGACUCCUACGGGAGGCAGCAGUAGGGAAUCUUCCGCAAUGGGCGAAAGCCUGACGGAGCAACGCCGCGUGAGUGAUGAAGGUCUUCGGAUCGUAAAACUCUGUUAUUAGGGAAGAACAAAUGUGUAAGUAACUAUGUACGUCUUGACGGUACCUAAUCAGAAAGCCACGGCUAACUACGUG
Molecule: ribosomal RNA, 497 nt
Filed under: uncultured bacterium
Lineage: Bacteria
Description: partial 16S ribosomal RNA
Rfam family: Bacterial small subunit ribosomal RNA
Source: RNAcentral